GACGGAGGGGACUAGCGUUGCUCGGAAUGACUGGGCGUAAAGGGUGCGUAGGCGGUUUUUCAAGUAAGGCGUGAAAGCCCUGGGCUUAACCCAGGAAGUGCGCUUUAAACUGAAAGGCUAGAGUGUGAGAGAGGAAAGUGGAAUUCCUAGUGUAGAGGUGAAAUUCGCAGAUAUUAGGAAGAACAUCAGAGGCGAAGGCGACUUUCUGGCUCACAACUGACGCUGAGGCACGAAAGCGUGGGGAGCAAACAGG
RNAcentral lists this ribosomal RNA (253 nucleotides) under uncultured bacterium. Its description in RNAcentral is "partial 16S ribosomal RNA". It matches the Rfam family "Bacterial small subunit ribosomal RNA", at positions 524 to 776 of the family's 1533-position model. The record is from RNAcentral.